Molecule: ribosomal RNA, 2904 nt
Filed under: Triticum aestivum (bread wheat)
Lineage: Eukaryota; Viridiplantae; Streptophyta; Magnoliopsida; Poales; Poaceae
Description: partial small subunit ribosomal RNA
Source: RNAcentral
AUGUCCUCCGCCGGCGACGGGGAAGACGGCGGCGGCGCCGCCGCCGACACGAUGGUCCUGGAGAUCACCGACGCAGCAGCAUCCCCCUCCUCCGCGCCUCCACCUCCCCCCAUCCCAGUCUCCGCGCUCGCCGCCCCACUCCCGUCCCCGACCGUCCUCGCGGUCCGCGCCGACCGGAGCAGGCUCAUCGAGAGCUCCUCCUACUUCCGCGCCCUCCUCGGCGGCAGCUUCAGCGAAUCGGGCAGCGGCUACGUGCGGAUCAGCUGCGACCUCGCCGCCGCCGUGCAGGUCCUCCGGUACCUCUUCGAGCCCCCCGCGAGCUUCGCGAUCUCGCAUCACAACUUCCUCCCGCUGCUGGAGGGUGCUCUGUUUCUCGCUGUCGAGAGCCUUCUAGUGGACUGUGAAAGGUGGUUCAGAACCGUGAGAUCUCGAAAUCCCUCCAUGGUGGUACCGUUGGAUUUCAUAAUCGAGGCCUGGUACUUCGCUCCAAAGCACGGGGUUACUUUUGUUGAAGACGUAUGUCCAGGAUAUCUAGCUCAGAAUUUUGUACAAGUUAUCUCCAGUAGGUCAUUUGUUCAUAUACCUUAUGAUCUGCUGUGCUCCACCAUUGAAUCCCCACACCUGACUGUGGAUAGUGAAAAGCAAUUGUGUGAAGCAAUUUUAUCUUGGGUUUCCGCAAGUAGGCAAUCCUGUGAACAAUCAGUCUCCAACUCAGCAGAUAACCAACUCUCCCUUCUUAGCAAGGUUAGGGUAUGCCUUUUACCUUUAGGAUUUGCAGCAGGUACAAAGAGAAACUGCUUUGAAUUUGGGAACAAUGCUGUAUGUAUGAUUCUUAAUCUGCUUAAGGACAGUUUGCAAACUCUACUGCAUACAGUUACCGAUGACAACUUGGAUAGUUACCGUAUUCGAUUAACAGAAUACUCCAAGAAAAUAGUACUUUCGGGAUGUCCCCAGUUAACUACGCAAUUCCUAUACAUAUCGGCGCUCCCCACUGAUCUAGAUGCUGUAUUUAAGAGAACUAUAGUGAGCGAUGUUAACGACGGAUGUUUGAACCAUUACAAUGGGCUGGUGAAGAAGGCUAAAACCUUGUCAUUUAGAAAUGUACGCAUUGUGGAUCUCUCCAAAUGUCCAAAUGUACAUUUUGGUGCAGUAAUUUUAUGGAUGAAGUGGACAUUUCCAGAAUUGAGGACGUUCAUAGCUUCCUAUUGUUUACUCUUUCAGUUUGAAGAUUUGCAGUGUUUGUUACUGAGAUGCCCAUGGAUUAAUGAAAUCAAUUUGAGUAUUGAUACAAGCGUUAUACUAUCCAAGUACUCGAUUAUAUCUUCUAGAUCUGAAGUACGGCGUGACGUGAAUCGAAAUCUAUCUAGCUAUUACAUGCAAAGUGGAUUAUAUGGGACCUCAGGAAACCCAGUUUUCUCAAAUAUAUCAAAAUUGAUACUGGAAGGCCGAAAUGAUAUUACUGAUAUGAACUUGCUGGAGAUAUCCAUGCUGAAAAGCUCUCUAUGUUAUAUAAACAUUAAACAUUGCACCCUGUUGACAGACGAUGGUAUAUCUACACUACUGUUGAAUUGUAGAAAAAUGCACUCGAUGGUUCUUUCUUAUACAUCGUUUGGAAAUCAUUCAAUUCAAACCCUAUGCUCAUUGGAUCCUUCAGAUAGCUUUUCUUACCAUAAGGAUGAACAUGCUCAUGUUAUGGCAUUUAGGUUGCAAGAAUUGCAUCUGGAAGGCUGUGAAGGUAUUAGUUGUGCUGCUAUGUCCCAGCUAGUGAGUAAUAUGAAUAUUGUGAAGUCCUUAUGCUUAAGGGAGACAUCACUUGCAGAUGGUGCUCUCUGCAACUUUGUUGGCUCUUCACUUGAGUAUCUUGAUAUUUCGGAGACUGUGGUUUCUAUGGUCUCAUUGGCACCAGUUAUACGAAGAAACUCUAAUUUGAGCUGCUUGAAAACAGCUGGAUGCCGUAACCUGCUGUUUGAACAGGGUGAGGUACAAUCCACGAGUGGUAACAAGUAUGGCAGGUUUCUUCAGGAGAUAACCAGUACGUGCUAUUUGGAGGAUGUAGAAAUGGGCUGGGCAUUUUGCCCUGUUCGAGUUGAUGACCUCAUUCCUUCUUUUAGUAAAGUAAGGAGGAUGACAGUUGGCCUUGGCACAACAUUACCAGAGAAUAUCCUGCAUGCUCUUCCUGAGAUCUGCCCGUUUCUCGAGUCUUUGGUUCUUAGGUUUCAGGUAAUCUCUGACAGAGUUGUAAGAAAUCUAUUGGAAUCGUCAACAAAUCUUCAGGUGCUCUGCCUGCACUAUUGCCUUGGCAAUUUGACUUCAUUUAGCUUUCAAACAAUGGCACCAGCGUUAAGAAUAUUACGGCUCCAGUGGGUUACUCCAUGGAUCACAAAUGAUGAUCUGACAAUUCUUACACAGAAUUGCAAUUUAGUUGAACUUUUGCUGUCUGGUUGCAAACUCCUUGACUCCAGCUCUCAAGAGAUAAUCUCUUCUGGGUGGCCAAACUUGGCAUGUUUACAACUUGAGGAAUGUGGUCAGAUAACACUUGAUGGGGUUGAUUCUAUUUUAGAUUGUAAAGCUUUGGAAGAAGUCUUACUUAGGCACACCGGUAGAGGUAUUGGAAGAACCAUUAUAACAGAUGCUAUCAGAGAGCUACCGCUCCUAAGGAAGCUGGCGCUGGAUCUCUGCGACGCGUCCGAGGGAGGCUACGACACCCCGAACGUUCCGGAGGGGAAGAUGAUGAGGAGCGUGAGGAUGAGCAGGUGCAAGAAGUCGGUGGCGGCGGCGAGGUCGUGCUUUGGGGAGGCGUCCUCCUCGAGCUCGAACCGGAAGCCGGUGCAGCACAGGGAGACCAUCGUGCUGGAGUGGAGCAGCCGGCAGCUGACGACCACCGUAGUGGAAGAAAGACUCUAG